AGGAGAUGUGGAUUCAAUUUCUGGUUCCCCAGGAAGAGUCCCUGGAGAAGGAAAUGGCAAACAACUCCAGUAUUUUUGCUGGGAAAGUCCCAUGGAUAGAAGACCCUUGCAGGCUACAGUCCCUGGAUUUGCAAGAGAGUCCGACACAACUGAGUGACCAAACAACAUGUUCUCUGACCAGGGAUCAAACCCUGCAGUGGAAGCUUGGAGUCCUAACCAAUGGACCGCUGGGGAAGUCCCUGUACAGCUUUUCAAGACCUGAUCCACCCAGCUUUCCAAAAGCAUCUCCUCCAUCUGCAAGUCUUAGUUUUGGCCUGUGGGAUCUAGUUCCCCAACCAGGGAUGGAACCCGGGCCUCCUGCAUUGGGAACGCGGAGUCUCAGCCGCUGGACCGCCAGGGAAGCCCCAGAUAGGACAUCAGACUUCUCCAAGGAGUUCGAGAUAGGCUCAUCAUCACAGAUAAAGGCGAGGAACCUGCCCUUUAAAUAAACCUGCCAGAUUUGAUGUGUCUGAAUGAGCAUCCUCUUGUGGCAUCAGCGUGGCACUCUCCAGGCUUGUUCCAAAGGCAACUGUUUGCGGGUGUCAGUGUCAGAGUUUAUCUGAGCAAGGUGCUUAUAAGGAACAUGCUUUUGACCAAGGAACCUUGUUGGAGCACAGAAUCACAGCGGGUAAGUGAGCACUGAAGAGGAUUUCUGUCUAGGGAUGUGUGUUUGGGGAGCAGGGAUGAGAGGCUGCAGACCAAGGCCUGGGGAGCGAUUGAUGGCUCUACAUCUUUCUCUUUUGUCUUUAUUGAAUUUGCUGUAUUACUGCUUCUAUUUUUUUCUGUUUUGGGGUUUGGGAGCUACAA
Long non-coding RNA from Bos taurus (domestic cattle), 846 nucleotides. NCBI's taxonomy places the organism in Eukaryota, Metazoa, Chordata, Mammalia, Artiodactyla, Bovidae. The record is from Ensembl.